RNAcentral lists this ribosomal RNA (501 nucleotides) under uncultured Glomeromycotina. RNAcentral describes it as "partial small subunit ribosomal RNA". It matches the Rfam family "Eukaryotic small subunit ribosomal RNA", at positions 591 to 1092 of the family's 1831-position model. The record is from RNAcentral. Lineage: Eukaryota; Fungi; Glomeromycota.
CCAAUAGCGUAUAUUAAAGUUGUUGCAGUUAAAAAGCUCGUAGUUGAAUUUCGGGGUUUAUCCGUUGGUCGGGCUUUUGGGUCUGUACUGGCGUGAUGGAUUCCUACCUUCUGAAUAACCAGCAUGUCAUUAAUUUGGUGCGUUGGGGAAGCAGGACUGUUACCUUGAAAAAAUUAGAGUGCUUAAAGCAGGCUAUUGCCUGAUUACAUUAGCAUGGAAUAAUGAAAUAGGACGCAUGGUUCUAUUUUGUUGGUUUCUAGGAUCACCGUAAUGAUUAAUAGGGAUAGUUGGGGGCAUUAGUAUUCAAUUGUCAGAGGUGAAAUUCUUGGAUUUAUUGAAGACUAACUUCUGCGAAAGCAUUUGCCAAGGAUGUUUUCAUUAAUCAAGAACGAAAGUUAGGGGAUCAAAGACGAUCAGAUACCGUCGUAGUCUUAACCAUAAACUAUGCCGACUAGGGAUCGGACGAUGUUAAUUUUUUAAUGACUCGUUCGGCGCCUUACG